GUAGGGUCCAAGCGUUAAUCGGAAUUACUGGGCGUAAAGCGUGCGCAGGCGGUUGUGCAAGACCGAUGUGAAAUCCCCCGGGGCUUAACCUGGGAAUUGCAUUGGUGACUGCACGGCUAGAGUGUGUCAGAGGGGGGGUAGAAUUCCACGUGUAGCAGUGAAAUGCGUAGAGAUGUGGAGGAAUACCGAUGGCGAAGGCAGCCCCCUGGGAUAACACUGACGCUCAUGCACGAAAGCGUGGGGAGCAAACAGGAUUAGAUACCCUGGUAGUCCACGCCCUAAACGAUGUCAACUAGUUGUUGGGGAUUCAUUUCCCUAGUAACGUAGCUAACGCGUGAAGUUGACCGCUUGGGGAGUACGGUCGCAAGAUUA
RNAcentral lists this ribosomal RNA (372 nucleotides) under uncultured organism. Its description in RNAcentral is "partial 16S ribosomal RNA". It matches the Rfam family "Bacterial small subunit ribosomal RNA", at positions 527 to 896 of the family's 1533-position model. The record is from RNAcentral.